RNAcentral lists this transfer RNA (86 nucleotides) under Roseburia sp. RNAcentral describes it as "tRNA-Ser". It matches the Rfam family "tRNA". From Rfam's summary of the family: Transfer RNA (tRNA) molecules are approximately 80 nucleotides in length. Their secondary structure includes four short double-helical elements and three loops (D, anti-codon, and T loops). Lineage: Bacteria; Bacillati; Bacillota; Clostridia; Lachnospirales; Lachnospiraceae. The record is from RNAcentral.
GGUGCAUUGCCGUAAUGGUAGCGGAGUGGCUUGCUAAGCCAUCCGGCAGAAAUGCCGUAUAGGUUCGAUUCCUAUAUGCACCGCUA